RNAcentral lists this ribosomal RNA (261 nucleotides) under uncultured archaeon. RNAcentral's name for it is "partial 16S ribosomal RNA". It matches the Rfam family "Archaeal small subunit ribosomal RNA", at positions 748 to 1009 of the family's 1478-position model. The record is from RNAcentral.
CAGCCGUAAACUAGGCUCGCUAGGUGUCAGGCAUGGCGCGACCGUGUCUGGUGCCGCAGGGAAGCCGUGAAGCGAGCCACCUGGGAAGUACGGCCGCAAGGCUGAAACUUAAAGGAAUUGGCGGGGGAGCACAACAACGGGUGGAGCCUGCGGUUUAAUUGGACUCAACGCCGGACAACUCACCGGGGACGACAGCAAUAUGUAGGCCAGGCUGAAGACCUUGCCUGAAUCGCUGAGAGGAGGUGCAUGGCGUAGACGUCU